This 234-nucleotide unclassified non-coding RNA is filed under the name uncultured Boletus. Its description in RNAcentral is "sequence contains ITS1". The record is from RNAcentral. Lineage: Eukaryota; Fungi; Basidiomycota; Agaricomycetes; Boletales; Boletaceae.
UCGAUUAUGAGAUUGACUGGCAAGGUGAAGGCUGUCGCUGGCUCCCCUUGGGGGGGGCAUGUGCACGUCUCGCUUUUCGUCGACCUUUCUCUCUCAUACACACACCUGUGCACCCAUUGUAGGCCCUCGAAAGAGGAUCUAUGUUUUUCACAUCACACUCGUCGUAUGUCUACAGAAUGUUAUUGAGAACGUCGACCUGUUUGACAGGCCGGCGGUCGAAUAUAUAAAAUCAUA